AAUAAAUAAUUAUUUUGUUUUUUUAUUUAACUUAAUUUAAAGUUUUAUUCUAGCUUAAAGGUUUGUUUAAUAUUUCUUUAUUAUGUAAGUUUAAGCGUUAUUUGGUUUUAAAUAAUUUAAUUUGCAGUUACUAAUUUUAAAUAUUUAAUAUAUUAAGAUUUAGGAAUAUAUUUUUGCUUUAACUAAAUUUGUGCCAGCAGUUGCGGUUAUACAAAUAAAGUUAAUAAAUUUUUUCGGUUUAUAGUUAAUUUGUUAAUAAAAUUUAAAUUUGGAAUUUAUUGAGUGGAAUCUGGAUUUUAAUGAUAAAUUUGUUUUUUUAUAUGAGGCUAUUAAAUUUUAUUUUAAACUAGGAUUAGAUACCCUAUUAUUUUUAAUGUAAAUUUUAACUCCUGGUUAUUAUUAGUUAUUUUCUUGAAAACAAAAGAUUUUGGCGGUAUUUUAGUCUUUUCAGAGGAACCUGUUUUGUAAUUGAUAUUCCACAUUAAAUUCUACUUGCUUUUUGUUUGUAUAUCGUUGUCAAGAUUAUUUUAUUAGAAUUUUAAUGGUCGUUAUUUUUAAUUAAAGAAUAGAUCAAAUCAAGAUGCAGCUAUAAGCAAGUAAAAAUGGGUUACAAUAAAUUUAUUUAUAUGGAUUAGUUCGUGAAAUGAAUUAUAAAAGUGGAUUUGAAUGUAAUGUUAUUUUAUUUUUUAAUAUGAUUUAGCUCUAAAAUAUGCACAUAUCGCCCGUCGCUUUCAUAAAAUUGAAAUAAGUCGUAACAAAGUAGGCGUACUGGAAAGUGUGCCUAGAAAGU
RNAcentral lists this non-coding RNA (790 nucleotides) under Trachys variolaris. The record is from RNAcentral. Lineage: Eukaryota; Metazoa; Arthropoda; Insecta; Coleoptera; Buprestidae.